CCAUGCCCAGCUAAUUUUUGUAUUUUUAGUAGAGACGGGGUUUCACCAUAUUGGCCAGGAUGGUCUCGAUCUCUUGAUUUCGUGAUCUGCCCGCCUCAGCCUCCCAAAGUGCUUUUAAUAUAUCCCACUGAUUUUUUUAGUAUUUCGUUAUUUUCUGACAAGAUAAUGCUCUAGGCUUAUCUUGUAUUUUCCUUGCCCAGCCCAGGAAUCAGCAGUUUCUCCAAGGAGUUUCUUUAAUAGGUAUGUAGUAGUAGUAUAUAGUAGUUUCUUAGUUUCUUUUAGUAGGUAUGUCAUUUAGAAGCUAAAAUUGGCACUAGGUAUUCACACUGAUACUGGAUAUCAUUGCUUUGAGGCAUUUCAGCAGACAGAACUAGGAAAAUUUAUGCAAAUAAGUGUGUGUAUAUAUAUGUGGGACACAUGUAUAUAUGAAUACAUAUUUAUCAUACUUUUAAAUCAUGAGUUCAUACUGAAACUUUUAAUCCAACACCAUGGGUGCUUCUUUGCCUUCCCCCAUUCUGUAUUGUCUCUCUUACCACAGCAGUAAUAACCCUGGCUCCCAUUAUUCUCAAUAUAUUUCACUCAUUUGCUCAGUGCUACCAUAAAUACAAGUUUCAGAAUCACUACAGCUCUAUCAACAAUAAACCUUCUAAAGUUCA
This 656-nucleotide long non-coding RNA is filed under the name Homo sapiens (human). The record is from RNAcentral. Lineage: Eukaryota; Metazoa; Chordata; Mammalia; Primates; Hominidae.